GACGAACGCUGGCGGCGUGCUUAACACAUGCAAGUCGAACGGUAAGGCCCUUCGGGGUACACGAGUGGCGAACGGGUGAGUAACACGUGGGUGAUCUGCCCUGCACUUCGGGAUAAGCCUGGGAAACCGGGUCUAAUACCGGAUAGGACCACUGCCUGCAUGGGUGGUGGUGGAAAGCUUUUGCGGUGUGGGAUGGGCCCGCGGCCUAUCAGCUUGUUGGUGGGGUGAUGGCCUACCAAGGCGACGACGGGUAGCCGGCCUGAGAGGGUGACCGGCCACACUGGGACUGAGAUACGGCCCAGACUCCUACGGGAGGCAGCAGUGGGGAAUAUUGCACAAUGGGCGCAAGCCUGAUGCAGCGACGCCGCGUGAGGGAUGACGGCCUCCGGGUUGUAAACCUCUUUCAGCACCGACGAAGCGCAAGUGACGGUAGGUGCAGAAGAAGGACCGGCCAACUACGUGCCAGCCGCCGCAGUAA
This 478-nucleotide ribosomal RNA is filed under the name uncultured bacterium. RNAcentral describes it as "partial 16S ribosomal RNA". It matches the Rfam family "Bacterial small subunit ribosomal RNA", at positions 28 to 523 of the family's 1533-position model. The record is from RNAcentral.